AUGGCGGCCGCGGCGGCCUCCGUUGGACACAGCAGCAGAGGCGGCGGUGGGCGGAUCCAUCGGCUGGAGGUGGAGAAUUUUAAGUCGUACAAGGGAACGCAGACCAUCGGCCCCUUCUUCGACUUCACGGCCAUCAUCGGUCCCAAUGGCGCCGGCAAGUCCAAUCUCAUGGACGCCAUCAGUUUUGUGCUCGGCGUCCGCUCCGCACACCUCCGUGGCGCCCAGCUCAAGGACCUCAUCUACGCCCUCGACGACCGCGACAAGGAGGCCAAGGGUCGCAGGGCCUCCGUACGCCUCGUCUACAACCUCCCAGGCACCGGCGGCGAGCUUCACUUCACCCGCACCAUUACCGGCGCCGGUGGCAGCGAGUACCGUAUCGAUGGCCGACUCGUCACGUGGGACGACUACAACGCCAAGCUCAGAUCCCUCGGCAUUCUCGUCAAGGCCCGCAACUUCCUCGUUUUCCAGGGUGACGUGGAAUCCAUUGCCUCCAAGAAUCCUAAGGAGCUCACUGCACUUCUGGAGCAGAUUGCCGGCUCUGACGAGCUCAGGAGGGAGUACGACGAAUUGGAGGAACAGAAAACCAGUGCCGAAGAGAAAUCUGCACUUGUCUAUCAAGAGAAAAGGACCAUCGUCAUGGAGAGGAAGCAGAAGAAGGCGCAGAAGGAAGAGGCAGAGAAGCAUCUGCGCUUACAGCAGGACCUGAAACUGUUAAAAACAGAGCAUCUCCUAUGGCAACUCUACAGCAUUGAAAAAGACAUGGAAGCAAUAGAAGCCGAACUUGAGGAUGAUAGACGUUCUCUUCAGCAAGCGCGCGAAGAUAAUCAAUCCUCUGACAAUGGACUUGCUGCAAAAAGGAAGGAGCAAAGUGCAUUUCUCAAGAAAAUUACCUUAUGCGAGAAGAGUAUGUCGAAGAAAAAGGUUGAUAUUGACAAAAAGCAACCCGAGCUUCUUAGAUUGAAAGAGCAAAUAUCUCGGCUCAAAUCCAAAAUCAAAAGCUGCAACAAAGAGAUUGACAAAAAGAAGGAUGAUAACAAUAAACAUUUGGAAGAGAUGAAAAGGCUGCAGAGUGCUUUGGCUGAUGUCACAAGUGCUAUUGAGGAGUUGAACGAGCAAGGCCAAGAUAAAGGAGUGAAACUGCAAUUAGCCGAUGACCAAGUCCAGGAAUAUCAUAGAAUUAAGGAAGAUGCAGGAAUGAGGACAGCAAAGCUGCGAGAUGAGAAGGAAGUAUUAGACAAAGAGCUAAAUGCUGAUAUUGAAGCCAAAAAGAAUUUAGAGGAGAAUAUGCAACAGCUGCGUAGCCGUGUUGAUGAGAUAUCAUCACAGGAGAGUGAAUUGCAGACAAAGCUUAAUAAGAUUCUUCAUUCAAUCCCCAAGCAUGAAGAUGAGCUUACACGUUUACGCGAGGAUCAUAACAAGAUUGCAAAGGAACGCCAAUCUUCAGGAGCUAAGUAUCUGACAUUGAAGCAGAAGGUGGAUGAGAUAGAUACACAGUUACGUGAACUCAAAGCUGUGAAGCAUGAAAGUGAGCGGGAUGCUCGAUUUUCAGAAACUGUUAAGAGUCUUAAGAGGCUAUUCCCUGGAGUCCAUGGUCGCAUGACUGAACUUUGUCGGCCCUCACAAAAGAAAUACAACCUUGCUGUCACUGUUGCCAUGGGAAAAUUCAUGGAUGCAGUAGUGGUUGAAGAUGAAAGCACAGGAAAGGAAUGCAUUAAGUAUUUGAAGGAACAACGUCUUCCUCCACAGACAUUUAUUCCCUUACAAUCGAUCCGUGUGAAGCCAAUAACCGAGAGGUUGCGUACCCUUGGAGGAUCUGCACAAUUGAUCUUUGAUGUGAUACAAUAUCCUUUUUUUCUCUAUCUUGGUGAAUUUUGCUGCAUGCUCCUUUUUUUGGCUUUGGAGAAAGCAGUUCUGUAUGCUGUUGGGAAUACACUUGUCUGUGACAAACUUGAUGAAGCUAAAACUCUUAGUUGGAGUGGUGAAAGGUACAAGGUCGUUACUGUCGAUGGGAUACUUUUGACUAAAUCUGGCACAAUGACUGGUGGAGUAAGCGGUGGAAUGGAAGCAAGAUCAAAUAAAUGGGACGACAGCAGAAUAGAAUCUCUGAAGAAGAAGAAAAGUAAGCUAGAGGCUGAAAUGUCCGAACUUGGUUCCCCCAGGGAGUUGCAGAGAAAGGAGCUUGCUGUAUCUGAGAAAAUAACUGGACUCGAGAAAAAGUUACAUUACUCGAAUGUCGAACAGAAUAAUCUCAAAGAGAAGCUACACAAAUUGGCAUCUGAGAAACGUAAUAUUGAGAAAGAAAUUGAUCAUCUGGAGCCAGGAAAGGAGGAGUUGGAAAGCCGUCUUGCUAAAAACGAACGGGAAGUAAGAAAGCGGGAGAAAAAAAUAAAUGAGAUAGUCGACAGGAUCUACAAGGAUUUUAGCAUGUCAGUUGGUGUGAAGAACAUUCGUGAAUAUGAAGAAAAGCAACUGAAAGAUGCUCAAGCACUGCAGGAGAGGAAGCUAAGUCUGAGCAAUCAAUUAUCGAAACUGAAAUACCAGCUGGAAUAUGAACAAAAGAGAGAUAUGCAUGCUCCGAUUGCAAAGUUAAACAACACACAUGAGACCCUAGAGAAGGAGCUGAAGGGCUUGCAGGAGAGAGAAACUCGUGCUAAGGCUGAUGCUGAACAUAUUUCAAAUCAGAUGGAAGAGCUGAAGGCUGAGGCUGAAGACUGGAAGUUGAAGUCAGAUGAAUGUGAGACAGCAAUUGAGGAACUAAAGAAACAGAAUGAUAGUGUUGCUGCUGCAUUGGCAAAGCUGGAUCGCCAAGUGAAGUUAAAGGAGGGACAGAUAGUUCAACUUAGAUCACGCCAACGUGAGAUUCAUGAGAAGUGCGAACUGGAGCAGUUAAAGCUUCCUACAGUUAAUGAUCCAAUGGACACUGGAUCAUCCUCACAGGAACUUGUCCUUGAUUACAACCAGCUUAGUGAAAUCUACCUGAAAGAAGUGCGGCUGUCUGACCGUGACAAACUUGAGGCAGAGUUCAAACAAAAAAUAGGUACACUAAUGGCUGAGAUUGAACGCACUGCUCCAAACUUAAAAGCACUGGAUCAAUAUGAAGCACUUCAAACGAAGGAAAAAGAGGUGAGCGAGAAGUUUGAAGCAGCUAGGAAAGAAGAGCGAGAGGUGGCUGACAAGUAUAACUCUGUCAAGCAAAGAAGGUAUGAGCUGUUCAUGGAAGCCUUUGAUCAUAUAUCUAAAGGCAUAGACAAAAUCUAUAAGCAGUUAACAAAAAGUCACACACAUCCACUCGGAGGAACAGCAUAUUUAAAUCUAGAAAAUGAAGAUGAGCCAUUUCUUCAUGGAAUCAAGUACACAGCUAUGCCACCUACGAAGCGCUUUAGGGAUAUGGAACAGUUAUCCGGUGGGGAGAAGACUGUUGCUGCACUGGCAUUGCUUUUUGCCAUUCACAGUUUCAGGCCAUCACCAUUCUUCAUACUGGAUGAAGUCGAUGCAGCUCUAGAUAAUUUAAAUGUUGCCAAGGUUGCUGGGUUUAUUCGAUCAAAGUCAUGCGAACGUGCUGGCGAAGAGCAAGAUGGUGAGGGAGGUUGUGGGUUUCAGAGUAUUGUCAUAUCGCUGAAGGAUAGCUUCUACGACAAAGCUGAAGCACUGGUUGGUGUUUAUCGGGAUUCAGAAAGAAGCUGCUCCAGAACCCUCACCUUCGACCUUACGAAGUAUAAAGAAGCAUGA
RNAcentral lists this ribosomal RNA (3729 nucleotides) under Triticum aestivum (bread wheat). RNAcentral's name for it is "partial small subunit ribosomal RNA". Lineage: Eukaryota; Viridiplantae; Streptophyta; Magnoliopsida; Poales; Poaceae. The record is from RNAcentral.